This 402-nucleotide ribosomal RNA is filed under the name bacterium. RNAcentral's name for it is "partial 16S ribosomal RNA". It matches the Rfam family "Bacterial small subunit ribosomal RNA", at positions 355 to 776 of the family's 1533-position model. The record is from RNAcentral.
UGGGGAAUUUUGCACAAUGGGGGAAACCCUGAUGCAGCGACGCCGCGUGAUUUAGAAGGCCUUCGGGUUGUAAAAAUCUUUUCUAUGGGAAGAAAAUGACAGUACCAUAGGAAUAAGGACCGGCUAAUUACGUGCCAGCAGCCGCGGUAAUACGUAAGGUCCGAGCGUUGUCCGGAAUCAUUGGGCGUAAAGGGUACGUAGGCGGGUAAGCAAGUUAGAAGUGAAAUCCUAUAGCUCAACUAUAGUAAGCUUUUAAAACUGCUCAUCUUGAGGUAUGGAAGGGAAAGUGGAAUUCCUAGUGUAGCGGUGAAAUGCGCAGAUAUUAGGAGGAAUAACGGUGGCGAAGGCGACUUUCUGGCCAUAACCUGACGCUGAGGUACGAAAGCGUAGGUAGCAAACAGG